This 8223-nucleotide long non-coding RNA is filed under the name Lactuca sativa (garden lettuce). RNAcentral describes it as "long non-coding RNA (LSAT_LNC003077)". The record is from RNAcentral. Lineage: Eukaryota; Viridiplantae; Streptophyta; Magnoliopsida; Asterales; Asteraceae.
CCUUAUGGCUAAAUCUAACCUAGACUAGUGCCAUGAUUGAGCUAAGGACUUGAAAACCCCAAAUACCAUAAACUUAGGAGUUUAAGGUAGUAAACUCGUGAGUUUAAGGUAGUAAACUCAUGAGAAAUGGUCCUUAGACCGUAAACUCCAUUUAGGAGUGUUUUGAUGCCACACAACACUUCCUAAAACUAAUUCAUGAAGUAGGAAUGCUUGGAAUAGCCUAGAAGACUUCAAAUCACCAAAUGGUCAAAAGGUUAGGAGUUUACGACCGUAAACUCAAGAGUUUACGACCGUAAACUCAAGGGGUGUUGAUCCUUAGGGAGUAAACUCAUUUUAAGAGUGUUCCUUGAACCCCAAUCAUACUAGCCUUUCCUUACAACNUAUCACUUAUAACACUUAUACAAAGUGUUUGUCAUGCUUUAGAGUGUCCUGACUUUGUUUAUUAGUUGUUUAAAUACUAAUUGUUAAUAUACAUAUAUCCUUAUAUGUUAUUAGGAUCUUUGUGCGUGUCUAAGUCUUCACUUGACACCAAGCACUUAUCCGACACUUCCUUCCGAUCCACUUGCUACAGGUGAGUUCAGAACCCUUAAUCAAUUUUUUAACUGUUUUUAAAUGUUUUAUGGGGGGAUACAAGUAGAAACACGCUAGUUAUUAUAUCAAUUAUUUGUGAUUAAUAAACAACAUUCAAAUGAUUGGCUACUCAUUAGCCGUUUUACCAAACAGUUUCCUUCAAAUGUUUUUCAUAAACACUUUAUUUGUUUAAAACUCCUUAUUACAAUAUACCUUUUACUCUGUAUGUUUCAUUUCAAACAUAUUUACAAUUGUGUUUCAAACAAAUAUUUUUUUAUACAAAACUGUUUUAUCAAACCCAUUCCUUCAAACCGUUUUAUAGAUUGGCAUCAAGUCGAUAUUCUCUUAAGAUAAUAAUUAUGUUCAAAGGUUUUACAAAACUUAUUUAUGCUUUUAUAUUAUAAAUUGCAUGCCUCUAUAUGUAUAGUUAUAUAAUAAAUGUUUAAAAGACUUAGGAAGGCUAUCCACCCUAUUUCCUUUUCGCGCUUGAGNGUGGUCUUGUGGAUAUCGGGUACUCGUCCGAAGGUCGUUUAAAUAUUAGUUAUAAAACAUAUGUACAUAUAUAGUCAUAAAGGCCCUUCCAGUUUAUCCCAUUCCCUUUGGUAGCAAGGGUAUACAUCCAUGUCCAUACGUACCAGUUAGAUUAUUAGUAAACUACCAUAUGGGUAGUUUAGGAAGAUACUAGAACUAUUAGUAGAAUGCGAUAUCAUACAAUGAGUCAGUUCAUUCAUGAGUCAAUACUUUCUAGAUAGAGAGAACAUACAUUACUAUGAGAACAUAUACAUUACAUUACUAUGAGUACAUAUACAACUAUACUAGGAGAAGAACAUAUACAACUAUACUAGAAAGAGAACAUAUGCAACUAUACUAGAAAGAGAACAUAUACAACGAUAGUAGAACGAGUACAAUACUAUACUUGCUAGGUAGAGAGCACAUACAUUACAGCUAGUACAUUACAGUACAUUACUAUACUUGCUAGGUAGAGAGCACAUACAUUACAGCUAGUACAUUACAAUACAUUACUAUACUUGCUAGGUAGAGAGCACGUACAUUACAGCUAGAACAGUUCUUUACAUUACAUAUACAUGAAUACGAUAAUUAUUGUGAUAUGAAUCGGAGCAUGACUUCAAUUUCAUGGCCCGAGUUGUAGCCAGAGUAUCUUGAAGGGAGAGCGUGAGUUUGCACACAGAUCUAUACUGGAUUGACUAUCCUACACCUUGCUGCUAGCUACAGCCGGACCUGCAGGUCUGCAGGUGCCAAACGUCAUUUCUUUUCACGACCUACAUUUUUCGUUGUUUAUCCAGUCGAUAGUAUGGUACAAUUAAUCACAUGAUGCCUUAAUAUAAAUCCGGUUUAAGGUAGUUAGUACAGCAGUCGUUCUUAUAGCGCUAGAUUUUAGUACUACAUUAAUUUUCCCUGUACAUAUAUUUAGUGAUCUUUUCACUUAAACUAUAAAUUUAAAAACUAUAUUUUGUUAAUGAUAGUUACACUUUGGAAAAUUACACACUUUUAAAUGAAACGAACAUUUAGAACAGUUAAGUCUUGGUAGAAGACAACAUUGAGAAUAGUUAGGUCUUGGUAGAAGAUACACUUUAUAUAAUAGUAGGAAUCAUAGGGAUUUCUAAGGUUUUUCAUACGUUUACAGUUGUUUUACAAAUAUUUUUACAUUUACAGUUCAUAUACAUUUUCAAUACUUACAAUUCAUAUACAUUUUCCAUUUACAGUUCAUAUACAUUUUUAAUACUUACAAUUCAUAUACAUUUUCCAUUUAUAGUUCAUAUACAUUUUCAAUACUUACAAUUCAUAUACAUUUUCCAUACUUGCAGUUCAUAUACAUACAAAUUAAGACAAUAAAAUACUUAUGAUCUCACCAGCUUCAAAGCUGAUACUCGCUUUCAAAAUUACUUGUAUCCUCAGGUCAUGUAUAGACAGGUACAGAUGCAAGGUUUAGAGAAGAUGGAGCUCGUUCAAGACUCAUCUUUCAUUUUGAUUUGUGCUUUAGUGUCUAUUAUAAUUUGACAGAACACACUUGUAUAAUAGUUAUUUUAUUAAUGAAAUGGAUGAUGUUGUUGCUUGUUUACUACUUUACAUUGCUGUGAUACUGUACAUGACUUCCUCCGCCCCAGAACAUUUCCGCCAUUCUUGGUUUCGAUGUGUGACAUAGAGUCUUACCUUUUUGCGAGACCGUGUCAGUAUAAGGAUGCUCGUUGUAACAACCCAAAAUCUCAAGUAUUGUUAAAUUGCAUUUUGGGGUGUUUUAAAGGGGAGACUCGGCGAGUUGGAGCCAGACUCGCCGAGUAGGGUCGCAGAUCUGGUCGCGGGUUCGCGACUGGACUCGACGAGUCCAGAUAUGGACUCGACGAGUCGACGCUGUUCAGCAGAAACCCUAGCCGUUUCGUAUUGGGUCGUAUUUAAGGGUUGUAUGUCGUCAUUUCACGUCUUUUGGCCGAUUGUGGAGAACCCUAGACGACUGUGGCAUUUGGAGCAAAACUUGAAGGCCAUUAUUGACUUUGAAGGAAUUGUGGUGCAAGAAGAGGAAGGAUUUUGGCCAAAGGAAGAGCAAGGGGGUCGAGUUCUGAGGUUUGGGGACACAGAGAGUAUGUUUUCAGGUAAGGUUUCAGAUCAUUCCUGUUAUUUUGAUGUGUACACGAAUUUAGGGUUUAUGAAACCCAUUUGGAGAUUUGAUGGAUUAUUAUGUUGUUAUACAAAGGUUUCUACCCUAGUAAUAGGAUGAUUAGAGGUCCAGAAGUCCCAUGAGUGUGUAUCUCGGGAAAAACGUAUCUCAGGAAGCAGUUGGAUCGACUGCAUGGCGUGGACUCGCCGAGUCGGAUGAUCAGACUCGGCGAGUAGCUUGAAGAUUCACUGGGACUCGCCGAGUUGUUCUUCAGACUCGGCGAGUGGAGUCGGGGUGGCCCCGCGAUUCUUCCAGGAGUGACUCGUCGAGUCAAAGAGGAUACUCGACGAGUAGAAGGGGAAUCUCAGAGGAUUGAAGGACGACCAGACUCGCCGAGUCGCCAGGGAACUCGCCGAGUCCAGUCGAGCUGACAAUGGACUGUUGACCAGAGUUGACUGGUGUGAUUUCUUAGGGUCAGUUAACGUGGAAGAUAGAAGUAUUAAAUAAGGGAUAUAUGAUGUUACAGGGAGCUUGUAGCUCGGAGGAUCAAGUGCAAGGGAUUUUAGGAGUUGCUAUCUUCUAGUGUCCGCGAGGUGAGUCUUCUCACUAUACUGUACCCGGAAGGGUUUGACUGUGUGACCGGAAGGUCGGAUAUGAUAUGUGAUAUGUAUGCUAUAUGUGGUAUGUUAUAUGUUAUAUGUGCUAUGUAUUAUGGGCCGGAAGGCGAUAUGAUGUGUGAUGGACCGGAAGGUCGGCGUGGGUAAGGCCGGAAGGUUUACCCAGCAGGGACGGAAGUCCCCUGAGACACAUGGACCGGAAGGUCGGGCCUGGAAAGGCGUACGUGCGUAAGUUGUAUAUUGGGGAACUCACUAAGCUUCGUGCUUACGUCGUUUAUGUUAUGUUGUUUCAGGUUCUUACAGUAACGCGGGAUGGCAACGGUUCAAUUGUACACACCGAAGAAAGAGUUGUGUUUUGGAGGAUCCUGGUCUUCUAUUAUAACGAAAAUGAAACCAUGUUUUGUAAUUCAAAUGUGAUUAAGACUUUAAACAAGUGUUUUUAAUAUUAAAUUGAUUAAUUAAAUAAGAAAUUUUGUUUUUGGAAAUUACGGUGUUACACUCGUGCUGCGUAUACUUGCCUUUUGUAGUAUACCUAAUUCGCAGCAAUGAUCUUGUUGUAAGUCUAAAAGUAUUGUAACUUUGUUGAUGGUUGCACGGUUGUGUUUCGUCUGUAAAACGUUUUAUGUUCAAAUCUAAUGUCUUUAACUUUCAGUAUGAUUCCGACACUAUCAUACGACUCGAUUCAAUUUGAUCUUCACGAAAACAGCUUCAUACGUACAUCUCUUUCUUCGAAAUCGCUCUUCCAGCAAAUUCGUCAUAUUAGAACACUGAAGUACUCAGGCAUGGAGUACCUUAUAUUUCUUUCCUUUCCGAAGGAAUCCCCGAAGUACCACUCGUGCAGUACGUUAAGUUCAACCCAAAAAUUCAUACGGUGGAUCUAUCACUGAGGAAGUUAUACAUAAGGGUAAUGUGUAAUCAAGGUUCUACAAGUUUAGAAUUGAUGAUUCCACUUUAACUUCUUUUUCCCUACUGGGAUAUGAGCUUAAAGAAGAAUCAGUUAUUCGACUACCUUUUCAAUAUUAAUUAUAUACAACUCGUAUACACGAGAUUGUGAUUGUGAAAACAUGUAUGAAUUCUAAUAUGAACUUCAGGACGGAGAACUGCCUAAGCCUACAAGUAAUCGCAUCGUCAUUUGAACAAACUUAGAACCCAGUACGACUCCUGUAAACCGAUGGCCCUACAGUCUAAACACCUAUGGAAAUACAAGAACAACCCGGACAACUUAACGAACUACUCAGAAAUAGAAUUAGAAGACUAGGCUUCUCACCCUGGAGAACCCCGGUCGUAUUCUUCCAGAGAUCGAUGGAUCGCGUCGUAUGUACCUCGGCUAUCGAGUACUCUGUCAAGAUUUUCAUUAGAAAUCGUUAUCUCUGCCUCGCAUAGAUGAAAUGGUUGAGCAAACGCAAGGAGAUAAUUACUUUCAGAAAUGGAUUUGAUAUCCAAAUAUCACCAGUUUGAGUGUUAGAGAAGGAUGUCCAGAAGACUACCUUCUGAACUCGAUGCAGACACUUCGAGUCCGUAGUGAUACCCUUCGGAUAGGACCAAUACGCCCAUAGUUUUCAUGAGCUAAAUGAGUAGGGUACGUAUUUCUACUUGUAUCAGUUCGUCAUUCUCCAUGUAAUGACUUACUUAUCUACCCUCGUAGUAAGAAGUAACCCAUGGAAACAUUACCUUCGGAGGAACUUACGCAAAGUUCUCUAAACACGAGUUUUGAAAUUGAAGGGUUAGAUUUCCUACGACACACUAUUAGUGAUGUGGAAAAUUUUGAGUACUCUUUCAAUUUGUCAAAACCGUUGAGAAAUUGUCAACACCAGAGACGCCGACAGAAAUUGACCACAUUCUAGGUCUUACAGACCUACUAUCAUAGCUCAUUCAGAACUCCUCCCAAAUUACAAGAACCCUUUCGACUUUGACCCAGCAAGGGGUGGCCCUUGACUGGGAAGUUUAGCAAGAGAAAGAACCCUUGGAAGCUCCAAGUGAGAGACCAAGUUCUUUAGGAAAAACUCACUCUAGGAAUGGCUUAAUACGCUUCAUAUCGCGUGGAAAGCAAAAUUCAAGAUAGAUAGGACCUCCGGGAUUCUUACCAGAACCGGUCCUGUACCUCGCACAGACUAGACCUACUCCGCGAACUCAGCAACGUACAUUUUACUCUUCGCGUCUCGAUCGUGAAACCAUACCUUUCCGUUAGGACUCUAGUAAGUCCACUCGUAGAGAUCCUCGCCUUCGUAUUUGAACCGCAGUGACCCUCAACUGAGAGGUCAAGCAAGCGAAGCAACACAGUCGCCCGUUAGUGAAGGUUCGUUGGGAUACCAACCGAAGACCCAAUUUCACUUAGGAGCGCUAGAACCAACCGAUUAGGAAGUUUCCUCCUCUCGACUCGAUCAUUCACACCUACUUCCUAAUCUAAAUUCUAAUUUCGAGACGAAAUUCCCUUUAGCAGGGGGAUGAUGGGACAACCCGAAAUUUCCAUUCGGUCAAACCCUAAAAGCCAACUCAUUUGUAUCAUAAGCCAAUGUCAUUAUUUCUUAUUUUUAAGAAAUAUAAAAUUCGUUUGAUUAUUUUAAUAUUAUUUUUAAGCGAAUGGGUGAAAGAAAGUGUCAUCUCGGGUUUUGAUUUUUGAAAACCGCAAACACUUCGCGUAUUAGAAACACCCGACCAAACUUUUAUGUUUGGGUUGAAAAAUCACCCGAAAAUCGUGAACUCAUACCUAUGUAUGAGUUUACUCCCCAAAAACUAGUCAUUUGUGUUUACUCCCCAAAAGUCAAAAAGAGUAAACUCCAAAAUAUCCUCUCAAGUAUCAUCCACGUUUUUAUUCCAAAUCUUUAAAGUUGUAAGUUUUCUAAACAUUUCAAGUUAGUAUAUCACUUAAUAUAGUGAUUUUACAUCCUUUAAUCCAUUCAUUUAUGUGUUUUGACUAGUUUUUCCAAAACAACAAGAACACCAAGAACACACACUAAGUGUUCUUGGCCUUUUAGCUCAAAUCAAGCCUUCUUAUAGUAAGUAGUUCCAUCCUUGAACAUUAUUGAGCUAGUACUACAUUUAAACUUCAAGAAAAUAUGUCAAGAACACAAGAUUGGAGGUGUUCACGGUCCAAGAAUGUUCUUGGGUCGUAAACAGCAUAAAGGGCACCAAAGUGUGCCUAAGUCCUUAUCUAAUUCCUAGUUUGAUGUUUAAACCAUCCUUGACACAUUUAAACCCUUCCUUAUAGUGUUUAAGCCUUCAAAAAGCACCAAAAUCCCCACUUUUAUGUGUUUACGGUCUAGGGAUGUCCCAAAACCGUAAACACCCCAAAAGUGUGUAAAUGUCUAUUAAAAGUCCCAUGGUUGUUCCUUAUGGCUAAAUCUAACCUAGACUAGUGCCAUGAUUGAGCUAAGGACUUGAAAACCCCAAAUACCAUAAACUUAGGAGUUUAAGGUAGUAAACUCAUGAGUUUAAGGUAGUAAACUCAUGAGAAAUGGUCCUUAGACCGUAAACUCCAUUUAGGAGUGUUUUGAUGCCACACAACACUUCCUAAGACUAAUUCAUGAAGUAGGAAUGCGUGGAAUAGCUUAGAAGACUUCAAUUUACCAAAUGGUCAAAAGGUUAGGAGUUUACGACCGUAAACUCAAGAGUUUAAGACCGUAAACUCAAGUGGUGUUGAUCCCUAGGGAGUAAACUCAUUUUAAGAGUGUUCCUUGAACCCCAAUCAUACUAGCCUUUCCCUACAACACUUAGAUGCACUCCUUAGCACUUAUAGCACUUAUACAAAGUGUUUGUCAUGCUUUAGAGUGUCUUGACUUUGUUUAUUAGUUGUUUAAAGACUAAUUGUUGAUAUACAUAUAUCCUUAUAUGUUAUUAGGAUCUUUGUGCGUGUCUAAGUCUUCACUUGACACCAAGCACUUAUCCGACACUUCCUUCCGAUCCACUUGCUACAGGUGAGUUCAGACCCCUUAAUCAAUGUUUUAAUUGUUUUUAAAUGUUUUAUGGGGGGGGAUACAAGUAGAAACAUGCUAGUUAUUAUAUCAAUUAUUUGUGAUUAAUAAACAACAUUCAAAUGAUUGGCUACUCAUUAGCCGUUUUACCAAACAGUUUCCUUCAAAUGUUUUUCAUAAACACUUUAUGUGUUCAAAACACCUUAUUACACUGUACCUUUUACUCUGUAUGUUUCAUUUCAAACUUAUUUACAAUUGUGUUUCAAACAAAUGUUUCUUUAUACUAAACUGUUUUAUCAAACCCAUGCCUUCAAACCGUUUUAUAGAUUGACAUCAAGUCGAUCUUUUCUUGGAUAAUAAUUAUGUUCAAAGGUUUUACAAAACUUAUUUUAUGCUUUUAUAUUAUAAAUUGCAUGCCUCUAUAUGUAUAGUUAUAUAAGAAAUGUGUAAAAGACUUAGGAAGGUUAUACUAGAACGAGUACAAUACUAUACUUGCUAAGUAGAGAGCACG